AUUACUCCUACGGGAGGCAGCAGUAAGGAAUAUUGGUCAAUGGAGGCAACUCUGAACCAGCCAUGCCGCGUGAAGGAUGAAUGCGCUAUGCGUUGCAAACUUCUUUUGGGUGGGAAGAAAACUAUUAAUUUAUUGAUAGCUGACGGUACCAUCAGAAUAAGCACCGGCUAACUCCGUGCCAGCAGCCGCGGUAAUAAU
RNAcentral lists this ribosomal RNA (198 nucleotides) under uncultured bacterium. RNAcentral describes it as "partial 16S ribosomal RNA". It matches the Rfam family "Bacterial small subunit ribosomal RNA", at positions 332 to 526 of the family's 1533-position model. The record is from RNAcentral.